Molecule: long non-coding RNA, 410 nt
Filed under: Amphimedon queenslandica
Lineage: Eukaryota; Metazoa; Porifera; Demospongiae; Haplosclerida; Niphatidae
Description: uncharacterized LOC109583721
Source: RNAcentral
CUCUAUUCUUCUCUUUCUCUGCAUACUUGUUUGUUCAGCAGUGCGCAGACUAAGUGAUUAACAGUUCUUUUAAGAGCUAAUAGAGCGAAAUAUAAUCUUACAGAGCCGUCAGAGCGCAAGAUAAUUUACAGCUGCUCAGUUUUGAUAAUUUUGGACACCUGUACCUAAGCCAGAUCACUAGAGUUCAGUGUAUUUCAUUAUACUUCUGAUAUUGGAUAUAUUGAGAUAAGUCUAUACAGUUAUUUUUAAAAUGAUAAGCAGUAGUUUACUUGUACCUCCUGCAUAUAUGUACUUGGUAUUAUGGUAUUUAUUUGUUGUGUUAAUGUUAAGUGUAGUUGUGGUGCUGUUAGUUGUAAAAAAAGGAAGUAGGAAAAGGAAAAGUGACUUAACUGGGGCUAAAUCCAAAAAAA